This 253-nucleotide ribosomal RNA is filed under the name uncultured bacterium. Its description in RNAcentral is "partial 16S ribosomal RNA". It matches the Rfam family "Bacterial small subunit ribosomal RNA", at positions 524 to 776 of the family's 1533-position model. The record is from RNAcentral.
UACGGGGGGAGCAAGCGUUGUUCGGAUUUACUGGGCGUAAAAGGCAUGCAGGCGGUCGGACGCGUUUCGGGUGACAGCGGGUGGCUUAACUACCCGAGUGGUCGAAAGACGGUUUGACUUGAGGACGCGAGAGGGACACGGAAUUCCGGGUGGAGUGGUGAAAUGCGUAGAGAUCCGGAGGAACACCGAAGGCGAAGGCAGUGUCCUGGCGCGUAACUGACGCUGAGGUGCGAAAGCCAGGGGAGCGAACGGG